Molecule: small RNA, 797 nt
Filed under: Histoplasma ohiense
Lineage: Eukaryota; Fungi; Ascomycota; Eurotiomycetes; Onygenales; Ajellomycetaceae
Description: hypothetical lncRNA
Source: RNAcentral
AAACCUUGCGAACCACCUCCAAUUAGCUAUUGAUUCCCUAUCCAAACAUUCUACAGGGUAAUUUCAUGCACAAAAAUUCCAACCGCUUCCUACGAUAGCUAAGUCUGUUACUGAGAUACAGAGAGCGACAAAUUUUCCGACUGUGCUUUCUGCGGAUCCGUAGUGGGCAAGUCAGAAUAAGAAUAUAUUUUCCUGGCGGUUUCGGCGUCUAAGUCGAAGUUACCGGUGAAGCUCAGAGGAAGGAGGGGAAAUAUCCGUACAGAGACUUCAACGUGAGUGGAUUUUUCUGAGUCGUAUUCCUCAGUUCAACGCCCAUCUAUUCCAACGCCGGCAAUCACAACCAGCGUUCCUUGGGCGGCUCUCCAAGGCCAACGGCAGCGAAACGGAGAUAAACGAAGAUAACUCGCGCAUACGCCUCGCCAUAGCCACUCUUACACAAUCGGGCUAAAUCCAAAUCCAAAUCAACUCCACCCACAAUGUCCUCCAACGUCGGCCUCUCCACCCCGCGUGGCAGCGGUACCUCCGGCUACGUCCAACGAAACCUCUCAUUCCUAAAACCGCGAGACGCCGGCUACGGUGCCCCGUACCCGCCCGUCUCAAACGCCGACCAACAGUCCAAGGAUUCCUUCAAACAGCGCCAGCCGGACAAGCAGAUCCUGGAACAUGAUCGGCGGCGGGCCAUCGAGGUGAAGAUCUUGGAGGAGAGGGAUCGACUGGAGGAGGCGAAUGAGCAGAGCGAGGGGAAAGAUAAGCUAUCUGAAGAGGCGAUUGAGGAGCGGUUGGAUGCGAUGCGGAAA